Molecule: ribosomal RNA, 450 nt
Filed under: uncultured bacterium
Lineage: Bacteria
Description: partial 16S ribosomal RNA
Rfam family: Bacterial small subunit ribosomal RNA
Source: RNAcentral
GUGGGGAAUAUUGGACAAUGGGCGAAAGCCUGAUCCAGCCAUGCCGCGUGUGUGAAGAAGGUCUUCGGAUUGUAAAGCACUUUAAGUUGGGAGGAAGGGCAGUAAGUUAAUACCUUGCUGUUUUGACGUUACCAACAGAAUAAGCACCGGCUAACUUCGUGCCAGCAGCCGCGGUAAUACGAAGGGUGCAAGCGUUAAUCGGAAUUACUGGGCGUAAAGCGCGCGUAGGUGGUUCAGCAAGUUGAAGGUGAAAUCCCCGUGCUCAACCUGGGAACUGCCUCCAAAUCUACUGAGCUAGAGUACGGUAGAGGGUAGUGGAAUUACCUGUGUAGCGGUGAAAUGCGUAGAUAUAGGAAGGAACACCAGUGGCGAAGGCGACUACCUGGACUGAUACUGACACUGAGGUGCGAAAGCGUGGGGAGCAAACAGGAUUAGAUACCCCUGUAGUCC